GGACAUGGGUGAGGUCACUGAUCCCAUUCACAGAUGAGGGAACAGAGAGGGAGAGUGACCUGCCUGAGGUCACACAGAAGGGAGGAGCGGCACCAGGGGGCAGAGGCCCAGCAGCUACCAAGAGGUGGGGCUGGGGUAGGACCUAGGUUCUGGCCCCAGAGAGGGUGCCUCAACUACGCCUCUGUCCUGCCCCUCACGAUGAUGUCCCCAUGCCCUGCAUUACCCACUGUACCCACCAAGGCCUCAAGGUCACCCUCAAGGUUGGCCGCACCAUGCCCUUUCUACAGAGGAGGACACCGAGGCUGGAGGGAAGGGAAGAGGCUGGUGCAGGGCCUGGGGCUGGACCUGGGCUUCGAACCUGUGUCUUCUGCCUCCAUGGCUGGAGCCCCACCCGGGACCCUCUCAGGGCCCCACCUGCCCCUUGGAGGGGUCAAUAGGACACAGCGGGAGGGACCGGGGCAGGGUCACCCAGGAUGGAGUUGGGGUGGGUCCAGGAGGGGCCAGGCUCUGCCAGGUGCCAUGUCAGAUGCCAGGCCUGCCCCGGGGGGCCUCCCUUCUCUAUUCCGUACACCUCACCAGCCCCCGGGGCCCACCCCACCUGGUGCACUGGCCUGCCUCUGAAGCCCCGCUCUAACAUCCUGGAGGAGGACAGUGUGUUCGGCUUCAGAGGCCACGAAAAAGCAGCGGCAUCGCCUUCCUGUCCUAAAGCCUCGCAGUUUGUACCAAAAACAAGUGGGGCAGAGGUCGCCGGAUCUGGAAUCACCCCACACAUCACCUGGUCAGAGUUUCACAGCCUGGCUGACCUCCUCCUGGCCCAGCUGGAAUGAUGGGUCCUCCCGCCUGCUGGCCUCUGACAAGGGCACCUUCCCUUCCCCAGGCAGAAGCGACCCUCCCACUCCAGAGCCCCAGGGCGGACCACCCAGGCUCCUCCUGGAACAGCCUUCACUCUCCCUCGGUCUCCCCAGCAGAGAUGAGAACAAAGGGUGUGCUCAGCACCUCUGGGUUCAGAGACCGCAGCUGCUGGGCUGAAAAAUGAGGCUGCUGGAGGCCUGGGGACCAGGACUUCAGGCUUAGAGAGGCCCCUGGAGGCUUUGGCUCAGUCUGCUCCUUUUCUGGAUGGGAGAGCCGAGGCCCUGGGGGCGGGCAGUGUCCUCACGGCACCCCAGAAUCACACCGACUUCCCUGCAGACGCU
RNAcentral lists this long non-coding RNA (1193 nucleotides) under Equus caballus (horse). RNAcentral's name for it is "lncRNA (ENSECAG00000059088.1)". The record is from RNAcentral. Lineage: Eukaryota; Metazoa; Chordata; Mammalia; Perissodactyla; Equidae.